This 497-nucleotide ribosomal RNA is filed under the name uncultured bacterium. RNAcentral's name for it is "partial 16S ribosomal RNA". It matches the Rfam family "Bacterial small subunit ribosomal RNA", at positions 28 to 507 of the family's 1533-position model. The record is from RNAcentral.
GAUGAACGCUGGCGGCGUGCCUAAUACAUGCAAGUCGAGCGAACGGACAAGAAGCUUGCUUCUCUGAUGUUAGCGGCGGACGGGUGAGUAACACGUGGAUAACCUACCUAUAAGACUGGGAUAACUUCGGGAAACCGGAGCUAAUACCGGAUAAUAUUUUGAACCGCAUGGUUCAAAAGUGAAAGACGGUCUUGCUGUCACUUAUAGAUGGAUCCGCGCUGCAUUAGCUAGUUGGUAAGGUAACGGCUUACCAAGGCAACGAUGCAUAGCCGACCUGAGAGGGUGAUCGGCCACACUGGAACUGAGACACGGUCCAGACUCCUACGGGAGGCAGCAGUAGUGAAUCUUCCGCAAUGGGCGGAAGCCUGACGGAGCAACGCCGCGUGAGUGGUGAAGGUCUUCGGAUCGUAAAACUCUGUUAUUAGGGAAGAACAUAUGUGUAAGUAACUGUGCACAUCUUGACGGUACCUAAUCAGAAAGCCACGGCUAACUACGUG